GAUGAACGCUGGCGGCGUGCCUAAUACAUGCAAGUCGAGCGAACGGACGAGAAGCUUGCUUCUCUGAUGUUAGCGGCGGACGGGUGAGUAACACGUGGAUAACCUACCUAUAAGACUGGGAUAACUUCGGGAAACCGGAGCUAAUACCGGAUAAUAUUUUGAACCGCAUGGUUCAAAGGUGAAAGACGGUCUUGCUGUCACUUAUAGAUGGAUCCGCGCUGCAUUAGCUAGUUGGUAAGGUAACGGCUUACCAAGGCAACGAUGCAUAGCCGACCUGAGAGGGUGAUCGGCCACACUGGAACUGAGACACGGUCCAGACUCCUACGGGAGGCAGCAGUAGGGAAUCUUCCGCAAUGGGCGAAAGCCUGACGGAGCAACGCCGCGUGAGUGAUGAAGGUCUUCGGAUCGUAAAACUCUGUUAUUAGGGAAGAACAUAUGUGUAAGUAACUGUGCACAUCUGGACGGUACCUAAUCAGAAAGCCACGGCUAACUACGG
Molecule: ribosomal RNA, 496 nt
Filed under: uncultured bacterium
Lineage: Bacteria
Description: partial 16S ribosomal RNA
Rfam family: Bacterial small subunit ribosomal RNA
Source: RNAcentral